GUGCUCACUUCAGCAGCACGUACACUAGAAUUGGAACAAUACAGAGAAGAUUACUGUGGGCCCUUGCAAGGAUGACAUGCAAAUUCGUGAAGCGUUCCAUAUUUUU
This is a small nuclear RNA of Bison bison bison, 106 nucleotides long. The record is from Ensembl. Lineage: Eukaryota; Metazoa; Chordata; Mammalia; Artiodactyla; Bovidae.